Molecule: small RNA, 25 nt
Filed under: Arabidopsis thaliana (thale cress)
Lineage: Eukaryota; Viridiplantae; Streptophyta; Magnoliopsida; Brassicales; Brassicaceae
Description: ATSL245210
Source: RNAcentral
GAAAAAACACAAAAAACAGAAAAGA